Otolemur garnettii (small-eared galago) is the source of this 73-nucleotide long non-coding RNA. RefSeq lists it as uncharacterized. The record is from RefSeq and is a predicted model, not a curated record. The transcript is spliced from 3 exons. Lineage: Eukaryota; Metazoa; Chordata; Mammalia; Primates; Galagidae.
AAAAUUAUUCAGCUUUUAUUAAUUAGCACCUUAGGAGAAACCAAGAAGAUAGAUGAGCAAGAUAGUAGAGAAA